Molecule: transfer RNA, 72 nt
Filed under: Camelus bactrianus (Bactrian camel)
Lineage: Eukaryota; Metazoa; Chordata; Mammalia; Artiodactyla; Camelidae
Also listed under: 2 other names
Rfam family: tRNA
About the family: Transfer RNA (tRNA) molecules are approximately 80 nucleotides in length. Their secondary structure includes four short double-helical elements and three loops (D, anti-codon, and T loops). Further hydrogen bonds mediate the characteristic L-shaped molecular structure. tRNAs have two regions of fundamental functional importance: the anti-codon, which is responsible for specific mRNA codon recognition, and the 3' end, to which the tRNAs corresponding amino acid is attached (by aminoacyl-tRNA synthetases). tRNAs cope with the degeneracy of the genetic code in two manners: having more than one tRNA (with a specific anti-codon) for a particular amino acid; and 'wobble' base-pairing, i.e. permitting non-standard base-pairing at the 3rd anti-codon position.
Source: Rfam by way of RNAcentral
GGCGGUAUAGCUCAGUGGUAGAGCACAUGCUUAGCAUGCAUGAGGUCCUGAGUUCAAACCCCAGUACCUCCU